UCAUCCAUCAUUCAAUUCGCCCAGAUUGUGGCUUAUUGCGAGCGCUGAUCGUAGGGUUAGCGUAUGGAAGGCGGAUUGGUCGAAGGAUUUCUGCGAGCUUGUUGAUUGGUUAACUUUUCCCGCUCCAAAUAUAACACCUGAAGGAAUUGCUUUGAAAAAAGACGAUGCGUCUGCGUAUUUGCAUCUACCGCCAAGUUUGGCAAGAUUCUCGCCAACAGAGCCCGAUGUUAUUGUGUACAGUGGUUAUGGUCUGAGAAAACUGAUACAAUUCUACAGCUUGUCCCAGAGAAAGGUUUUUCGAACUAUUUUGUUGACACAAUGGGCUUCUUGCUUGGAAAUAUCGCCUAAG
Long non-coding RNA from Xenia sp. Carnegie-2017, 349 nucleotides. RefSeq lists it as uncharacterized. Lineage: Eukaryota; Metazoa; Cnidaria; Anthozoa; Malacalcyonacea; Xeniidae. The record is from RefSeq and is a predicted model, not a curated record. The transcript has 3 exons.